Molecule: long non-coding RNA, 554 nt
Organism: Megalobrama amblycephala (Wuchang bream)
Lineage: Eukaryota; Metazoa; Chordata; Actinopteri; Cypriniformes; Xenocyprididae
Exons: 3
Source: RefSeq, a predicted model, not a curated record
GUCAGCCACAUCGAGUUCAAAUUUGAAACGACACAUCGAGUUACGCCAUCCGAGCUAUCUUGGCAAAUAUCUGCGACUGAAUGAUGAACGCAAGAAAUCAUUAACGAAGAGAGGACCGCCGCCAAGCACACCCACCCAAGUUAAGCUCACUGCAUUUAGUAAAGGACCUGCUGUUUCCUUCGUUUCCCAGCAACAAGUGGACAAGCUUGUGUUGGAUUACAUUGUGGGAGAUCUGCAGCCUUUGAGUAAGGUCGAGAAGCCAUCGUUCAUCAAAUUAGUGACAGGUUUGCAGCCAUCCAGGCAUGUGCCUUCAAGAAAGCAGGUGUGAAAAUGUGUUGGUUGAGUAUUGCACAUUAAGCAGGGUAAGCCCAAGCUAAGUUUACAUUACAGUACAUGACUACUUUGGUCUGGUUUACAUAGUUACUGCCGUUCAGAAUAUGCUGGAUUUUUGUCAGUAGACUGAUCUUUUCCCCAUGAACCUGAAUAUACCUUAUUUUUAAGUCCUGUAAUUUGGUUCAUGCUGGCUAAAUAAAAGUUUCACUGAACAUACAGUA